Non-coding RNA from Oryzias latipes (Japanese medaka), 1266 nucleotides. The record is from RefSeq and is a predicted model, not a curated record. Lineage: Eukaryota; Metazoa; Chordata; Actinopteri; Beloniformes; Adrianichthyidae.
GAUAAGGGGAGUUCAUGCACAUCUGGAACGACGAUGAUUCAGUGAUCUGCGUUGACACAGUGAAGGUGGAAGGUGUGUGUGAGCUGAUGUGGAUCCAGUGAAUCCAGCAGCAUGGAUCAGUGUGAGGACACACAGGAGGGAGCCCCUCUCUCUAAAAGCAGAGAUGGUAACCAUGACAACCAGAGCAAAGCUCAAAGGAACCAACCUGGACCUGGAUCUGGAUCCAGCUGGGGGUCCUUCAGGAGUGACAUAUCAAAGGAUUUACCUAUAAGCUUCAAAGACAGCAGUUCAGGAGUGGAACGGUCGGCUGUCACUCGUCCUGGAUGGCCCCUCCCUCUCCUGCCUGGUCUUCUCUGUGGAGGAGUGCACAGCUGCCUGCACUUUGCAAUCAUGCUUAUUUAAGUUGAUGAUACUCAGUCCUCAGUGUCGGUGCGUCCCUGUUAAGUCAGUGGUUUUCCUACUCAGCCGACACUGAGGUCUGUUUUGUUCUUUGGCAUUUUGUCUGAGCUUAGUUGUUCCCUUUUGUUGCCUUUUGCAGUUUUCCCUCUCUUGAGGAGUUUUUUGUGAUCCCACCUUGUGGCGCUUUCUGUUAGCAUUAAAUCGCUCUUAAGCGCAUUCCUGAGUCUCAGCCUGAUUCCUAUCUGCACUUGGGUUUCCGUCCCUACAGCCGUGACACAUCGAUCCAUCCUGUUCCCGCCAUGACAAUCCUGUCUCGCCACGCUCUGGUCUCGCUCCCUCCUGCCUAGCCAAGACUCCUGGCAAGGACCAUGUCUGUCACAAACGCCUUCGCUCCAGAUCCAGCGCCGACGUCAUGCCGUAUCAGAAGGCUACUAAUGGCUACAAACCAUCCUACGAACUUUCUCUAUACCACGUUCUGGAAGAGAAAUAAAUCUGUUAACCUACUUCCUAGUUUGAGUUUGCAUCGUAGUUCCAUCAUCUGGGUCUGCCAUGUCAUACACAUCAUGACAGGUAUAUUAUUUGGAUUUUAUAAUGUUAAAAAUUCACUAAUAAGGGGAUACUACUUAAUUAACCUUUUAAGAAUACAAGCCACAUUUCAUAUUAAUAAAUGCUAAUUUUCUGAAACUUUCUUAUUCAAACUUUUUAUGAUUGCUCUUUUUUUUUAUUUUUAUAACUUUUUUUUCCCUUUGUUUUCUAUAUUCCCCUGGCAAAUUUUGUUACUCAUUUUUCUAUCAGUGUACUUUAAAGUUGACUCGAUUUUGUACUAUGAUCCUUUAUAUAUAUAUAUUCAAUAAAGAUUUUUAAAAA